CAGUCGCCGCGGUAAUACGAAGGGUGCAAGCGUUAAUCGGAAUCACUGGGCGUAAAGCGUGCGCAGGCGGUUUGUUAAGACAGAUGUGAAAUCCCCGGGCUCAACCUGGGAACUGCAUUUGUGACUGGCAAGCUAGAGUGUGGCAGAGGGGGGUGGAAUUCCGCGUGUAGCAGUGAAAUGCGUAGAUAUGCGGAGGAACACCGAUGGCGAAGGCAGCCCCCUGGGCCAACACUGACGCUCAUGCACGAAAGCGUGGGGAGCAAACAGGAUUAGAUACCCCUGUAGUCCCUGUCUCUUAUAC
Molecule: ribosomal RNA, 301 nt
Filed under: uncultured bacterium
Lineage: Bacteria
Description: partial 16S ribosomal RNA
Rfam family: Bacterial small subunit ribosomal RNA
Source: RNAcentral